This 489-nucleotide ribosomal RNA is filed under the name uncultured bacterium. RNAcentral describes it as "bacterial SSU rRNA". It matches the Rfam family "Bacterial small subunit ribosomal RNA", at positions 8 to 518 of the family's 1533-position model. The record is from RNAcentral.
AGAGUUUGAUUAUGGCUCAGGAUGAACGCUGACAGAAUGCUUAACACAUGCAAGUCGACUCGAGUCUUCGGACUUGGGUGGCGCACGGGUGAGUAACGCGUAAAGAACUUGCCUCUUAGACCGGGACAACAUCUGGAAACGGAUGCUAAUACCGGAUAUUAUGGUUUUUUCGCAUGGAGGAAUCAUGAAAGCUAGAUGCGCUAAGAGAGAGCUUUGCGUCCCAUUAGCUAGUUGGUGAGGUAACGGCCCACCAAGGCAAUGAUGGGUAGCCGGCCUGAGAGGGUGAACGGCCACAAGGGGACUGAGACACGGCCCUUACUCCUACGGGAGGCAGCAGUGGGGAAUAUUGGACAAUGGACCACAAGUCUGAUCCAAGCAAUUCUGUGUGCACGAUGUACGUUUUCGGAAUAGUAAAGUGCUUUCAGUCGGGAAGAAGUCAGUGACGGUACCGACAGAAGAAGCGACGGCUAAAUACGUGCCAGCCGCGGC